GCCCCCACCCGCCUGGCGAGAGAACCUUUCAUGUGGCAGAGAAGAGAUGCGAACGCACGGGCGCUGCCGCCCUGUGGCAAGGUGAGCCCAAGAGGGCGGAGCUGAGCAUGCCCAGUUCCUCCUGCCAAUCUCCCUCCUCAGAUCUGCAAUCCCGGCUCGUGGGGAGCGGCGAGAAGAUGCUGUGGGGAGAGAGGCCGUGACAUCGCGCGGGUGUAAGCGUGAAGCCAGGGGACGGGGCUCCUCUGACAGAAGCCCUUAGAUAUUCCUGAGAUCGUGUUUCCUGCAAGCGACGGGGGUCCUCGCUGAGUCUCAGGCGGGGCUAUUUCCCACCAAGGAAGAGGAGUUGGUGGUGCUGGGGGUGAUGCUGGCGGUGCUUUUGCGUCAUCUCGCGGGACUAACUCACACAGCAUGAGAUGAGCUCCAGCCGCUGGGCUGACUCACCAUCCUCCCCGGGGAUCUGCACCCCCAGACCUGCUGCCCCGCGGGUAGGAUUCAGAGCCUCAUGAUGGUGUGACCUCGGGGAGGUGGAAGGCGGUGUGACCGGAAAGGGGCAGGCCGAGGAGCAGGUGUUUCAAAUCCUGGCGAGUUCAAUUUCUUCACCUGGGUGGCGGUUACGUGGGAGCGAUUUUUACAACGUCGUACUCCUGCAAAUCAAGAUGGAGCCUCUGGUUCACACUUUUCAUUUAUGUCUCCCCUUAAUGUGUGGGUUAAAGUGAAGAUGAUAUUCUGCCUAAGAACUGACAAAGGAAAACAGAGAAACGACAUUCUGAAAAUUUUUGCCUUUUUAAAAAAAAUUGUUCAGAUUCCGUGAGAAGACGUAAUAUUUUUAGCCUCUACGGAGAGGAAAAGCAGAG
RNAcentral lists this long non-coding RNA (854 nucleotides) under Equus caballus (horse). RNAcentral describes it as "lncRNA (ENSECAG00000045168.1)". The record is from RNAcentral. Lineage: Eukaryota; Metazoa; Chordata; Mammalia; Perissodactyla; Equidae.